Molecule: ribosomal RNA, 895 nt
Filed under: uncultured bacterium
Lineage: Bacteria
Description: bacterial SSU rRNA
Rfam family: Bacterial small subunit ribosomal RNA
Source: RNAcentral
AGAGUUUGAUCCUGGCUCAGGACGAACGCUGGCGGCGUGCCUAACACAUGCAAGUCGAACGGAGAUACGAUUUCGGUUGUAUCUUAGUGGCGAACGGGUGAGUAACGCGUGAGCAACCUGACUCUUAGAGGGGGAUAACACUCGGAAACGGGUGCUAAUACCGCAUAAGACCACGACAUGGCAUCAUGACGAGGUCAAAGGAGCAAUCCGCUGAGAGAGGGGCUCGCGUCCCAUUAGAUAGAUGGCGGGGUAACGGCCCACCAUGUCAGCGAUGGGUAGCCGAGCUGAGAGGCUGAUCGGCCACACUGGAACUGAGACACGGUCCAGACUCCUACGGGAGGCAGCAGUGGGGAAUAUUGGGCAAUGGGCGCAAGCCUGACCCAGCAACGCCGCGUGAGGGAAGAAGGCUUUCGGGUUGUAAACCUCUGUCCUUGGUGACGAAAAAAAUGACGGUAGCCAAGGAGGAAGCCCCGGCUAACUACGUGCCAGCAGCCGCGGUAAUACGUAGGGGGCGAGCGUUGUCCAGAAUUACUGGGCGUAAAGGGUGGGUAGGUGGCCUUUUAAGUUGGAUGUGAAAUACCCGGGCUUAACCUGGGGGGUGCAUCUAAUACUGGGAGGCUAGAGUGCAGGAGAGGAAAGCGGAAUUCCUAGUGUAGCGGUGAAAUGCGUAGAUAUUAGGAGGAACACCAGUGGCGAAGGCGGCUUUCUGGACUGUAACUGACACUGAGGCACGAAAGCGUGGGGAGCAAACAGGAUUAGAUACCCUGGUAGUCCACGCGGUAAACGAUGAAUACUAGGUGUAGGGGGUAUCAACUCCCCCUGUGCCGGAGCUAACGCAAUAAGUAUUCCGCCUGGGGAGUACGGCCGCAAGGUUGAAACUCAAAUGAAUUGACGG